CUCCCUCGUUGCUGAUCUCAGGUUCGAUAAUGCCAAUAUCGCACCACCUCGCCUAAAACCAACUUCGAUGAAGCGACGGGCGGUGUGUGA
Molecule: ribosomal RNA, 90 nt
Filed under: uncultured archaeon
Lineage: Archaea
Description: partial 16S ribosomal RNA
Source: RNAcentral